UGGGGAUUAGCUCAGUCGGUAGAGCAUGCGGCUGUUAACCGCAGUGUCGUUGGUUCGAGUCCAACAUUCCCAG
This 73-nucleotide transfer RNA is filed under the name Caudoviricetes sp. Its description in RNAcentral is "tRNA-Asn". It matches the Rfam family "tRNA". From Rfam's summary of the family: Transfer RNA (tRNA) molecules are approximately 80 nucleotides in length. Their secondary structure includes four short double-helical elements and three loops (D, anti-codon, and T loops). Further hydrogen bonds mediate the characteristic L-shaped molecular structure. tRNAs have two regions of fundamental functional importance: the anti-codon, which is responsible for specific mRNA codon recognition, and the 3' end, to which the tRNAs corresponding amino acid is attached (by aminoacyl-tRNA synthetases). tRNAs cope with the degeneracy of the genetic code in two manners: having more than one tRNA (with a specific anti-codon) for a particular amino acid; and 'wobble' base-pairing, i.e. permitting non-standard base-pairing at the 3rd anti-codon position. Lineage: Duplodnaviria; Heunggongvirae; Uroviricota; Caudoviricetes. The record is from RNAcentral.